GAGGGAGUCCCUCCCUCUAAAAGCACUCUGUGUGGGGAACAUGAGAGCCAGACCAAAGCUCAGAGGAAGAAACGAGGAACUAAAUGCAAACAUGAACCUCAACCCAGCUCUGUGUCCUUAAAGAGUGAUAUAUUGAUGGAUGUCAUAAGAAGAACUGAACAACAGCAUUUAUCUCACAAAAUGAUCUAUGAGAGGGCCCAAGCUGGACCUCCACCCAGCUGUCUGCCACCUAAAAACAAACGGGUCAAGGGUUUGUUUAGUAAGUUAGGGGGGACAAAGUCAUCUAACAAAAAGAUCCAUCAGAGAUUUAAACCUGGGCCCAGCUUUGUGUCCUUAAGGAGUGACCAGUCUAUAGAGG
Long non-coding RNA from Oreochromis aureus, 358 nucleotides. RefSeq lists it as uncharacterized. Lineage: Eukaryota; Metazoa; Chordata; Actinopteri; Cichliformes; Cichlidae. The transcript has 4 exons. The record is from RefSeq and is a predicted model, not a curated record.